This 427-nucleotide ribosomal RNA is filed under the name uncultured bacterium. RNAcentral's name for it is "bacterial SSU rRNA". It matches the Rfam family "Bacterial small subunit ribosomal RNA", at positions 355 to 774 of the family's 1533-position model. The record is from RNAcentral.
UGGGGAAUUUUGGACAAUGGGCGCAAGCCUGAUCCAGCAAUGCCGCGUGCAGGAUGAAGGCCUUCGGGUUGUAAACCGCUUUUGUCAGGGAAGAAACGGGUUUCUCUAAUACAGAGACUUAAUGACGGUACCUGAAGAAUAAGCACCGGCUAACUACGUGCCAGCAGCCGCGGUAAUACGUAGGGUGCGAGCGUUAAUCGGAAUUACUGGGCGUAAAGCGCGCGCAGGCGGUUAUAUAAGACAGAUGUGAAAUCCCCGGGCUCAACCUGGGAACUGCAUUUGUGACUGUAUAGCUAGAGUACGGCAGAGGGGGAUGGAAUUCCGCGUGUAGCAGUGAAAUGCGUAGAUAUGCGGAGGAACACCGAUGGCGAAGGCAAUCCCCUGGGCCUGUACUGACGCUCAUGCACGAAAGCGUGGGGAGCAAACA